AGGCCUGUAGCUCAACGGUUAGAGCCGGCGGCUCAUAACCGCUUGGUUGGGGGUUCGAAUCCCUCCAGGCCUACCA
This 76-nucleotide transfer RNA is filed under the name Parahoeflea alexandrii. RNAcentral's name for it is "Hoeflea alexandrii tRNA-Met". It matches the Rfam family "tRNA". Rfam says of the family: Transfer RNA (tRNA) molecules are approximately 80 nucleotides in length. Their secondary structure includes four short double-helical elements and three loops (D, anti-codon, and T loops). Further hydrogen bonds mediate the characteristic L-shaped molecular structure. tRNAs have two regions of fundamental functional importance: the anti-codon, which is responsible for specific mRNA codon recognition, and the 3' end, to which the tRNAs corresponding amino acid is attached (by aminoacyl-tRNA synthetases). tRNAs cope with the degeneracy of the genetic code in two manners: having more than one tRNA (with a specific anti-codon) for a particular amino acid; and 'wobble' base-pairing, i.e. permitting non-standard base-pairing at the 3rd anti-codon position. RNAcentral also lists the same sequence under 3 other names. Lineage: Bacteria; Pseudomonadati; Pseudomonadota; Alphaproteobacteria; Hyphomicrobiales; Rhizobiaceae. The record is from RNAcentral.